UACGAAGGGGGCUAGCGUUGCUCGGAAUCACUGGGCGUAAAGCGCACGUAGGCGGAUUGCUAAGUCAGGGGUGAAAUCCUGGAGCUCAACUCCAGAACUGCCUUUGAUACUGGCGAUCUCGAGUCCGGGAGAGGUGAGUGGAACUGCGAGUGUAGAGGUGAAAUUCGUAGAUAUUGGGAAGAACACCGGUGGCGAAGGCGGCCAUCUGGACCGGAACUGACGCUGAGGCGCGAAAGCCAGGGGAGCGAAUGGG
Molecule: ribosomal RNA, 253 nt
Filed under: uncultured bacterium
Lineage: Bacteria
Description: partial 16S ribosomal RNA
Rfam family: Bacterial small subunit ribosomal RNA
Source: RNAcentral